GGCGGCGUGCCUAACACAUGCAAGUCGAGCGGGGACGAUUGCGACGGAGUAUGAAGUUUCGGUAGUGGAGUUUGAAGAUGCAAUGUUCUAGCGGCGGACGGGUGAGUAACGCGUGAGCAACCUGUCCCUUACAGGGGAGUAACACAGCGAAAGUUGUACUAAUACCGCAUAAGACCACAGAGUCACAUGGCUUAGGGGUCAAAGGAGCAAUCCGGUAAGGGGUGGGCUCGCGUCCGAUUAGAUAGUUGGUGAGGUAACGGCCCACCAAGUCGACGAUCGGUAGCCGACCUGAGAGGGUGAUCGGCCACAUUGGGACUGAGACACGGCCCAAACUCCUACGGGAGGCAGCAGUGGGGAAUAUUGGGCAAUGGGGGAAACCCUGACCCAGCAACGCCGCGUGAGGGAAGAAGGUUUUCGGAUCGUAAACCUCUGUCCUUGGUGAAGAGAGAGAGACGGUAGCCAAGGAGGAAGCCCCGGCUAACUACGUGCCAGCAGCAGC
Molecule: ribosomal RNA, 499 nt
Filed under: uncultured bacterium
Lineage: Bacteria
Description: bacterial SSU rRNA
Rfam family: Bacterial small subunit ribosomal RNA
Source: RNAcentral